UACGUAGGGUGCGAGCGUUAAUCGGAAUUACUGGGCGUAAAGCGUGCGCAGGCGGUUUUGUAAGCCAGAUGUGAAAUCCCCGGGCUCAACCUGGGAAUGGCAUUUGGGACUGCAAGGCUGGAGUGUGGCAGAGGAGACUGGAAUUCCUGGUGUAGCAGUGAAAUGCGUAGAUAUCGGGAAGAACACCAGUGGCGAAGGCGACGCUCUGGGCUGUCACUGACGCUGAGAUGCGAAAGUGUGGGGAGCAAACGGG
This 253-nucleotide ribosomal RNA is filed under the name uncultured bacterium. Its description in RNAcentral is "partial 16S ribosomal RNA". It matches the Rfam family "Bacterial small subunit ribosomal RNA", at positions 524 to 776 of the family's 1533-position model. The record is from RNAcentral.